AUGAAGGCCAGGCUGAAGACUUUGCCGGAUUAGCUGAGAGGUGGUGCAUGGCCGUCGUCAGUUCGUACUGUGAAGCAUCCUGUUAAGUCAGGCAACGAGCGAGACCCACGCCCACAGUUGCCAGCGUACUCUCUGGAGUGACGGGUACACUGUGGGACCGCCGCUGCUAAAGCGGAGGAAGGAAUGGGCAACGGUAGGUCAGUAUGCCCCGAAUAUCCCGGGCUACACGCGAGCUACAAUGGUUGGUACAAUGGGUAUCUACCCCGAAAGGGGACGGAAAUCUCCUAAAACCAAUCUUAGUUCGGAUUGAGGGCUGCAACUCGCCCUCAUGAAGCUGGAAUCCGUAGUAAUCGCGUUUCAACAGAACGCGGUGAAUACGUCCCUGCUCCUU
Molecule: ribosomal RNA, 391 nt
Filed under: uncultured Methanosaeta sp.
Lineage: Archaea; Methanobacteriati; Methanobacteriota; Methanomicrobia; Methanotrichales; Methanotrichaceae
Description: bacterial SSU rRNA
Rfam family: Archaeal small subunit ribosomal RNA
Source: RNAcentral